UUACGUGUACGCCUACAAUACUUAGUCCUGCGUACUUACAAGGUUGCCUAGAGGUGAAUUUACACAACUUUAGACCAAGGCACAAUCAAACACUCUAGUUUCUACUGUCUGUAUCUAAAACUCGUGUAGGGCAAGGAUGAAGGGAACUCUGACACUCAUGCUCUUGUUGUUCGCCAUUUUGGCCCUGAUAUUGAACGAUGCUGAUGCCCAGCACGGCGGCGGCGGCGGUGGACCGCCGUGCCCUCCGCACUGCGGCAGACUGAGUGUGCACGGUGAUGACGACACAGCAGAGCGCGAGGCUCGAGACCUGACAGGAGACGUUCCCCAGGUGAAUAAUGAGGCGGAGGAGUGGGCUGAACACGAUCGGCUCCUCGCCAAACUUGGGAAAAAACCUUGAUCCACACCGACUUCGGCGGCUAAAGAGUGGUUUCUGUGUGAGGGGCCUUGUUUGCUGUGACGACUGAAGGAUGGCGAGACAUCAUCCAGUGCUAUAAUACUUGAUGAAGCUCAAAUACGCAUUUACUGUCAGAGGCCCCCAUUGUGUUUUAAGCCGCAGGUGUUUGUGAUUUGAAAUGUUUCCCUUUUAUCAGCUAAAAACGGUUGGUUGUGUGUAGAAAAUGUUGUUGAUCACAAGAGGUCACAGUACAUAUUGAGCAUCACUUUUAUACAAAACAGCGUAUUGAGCAUUUAUAUACAAACAAGAAUCUGCCAACGCCACACUGUUAUGGUAGUGUAGAAACGAUAAUAAAGUAUUUUAAUACUAAAUUCAUUCUUUCCUGGCCUGUGAUUUGCAUGUAACUUAUCACAAUUUAGUCCCUGACUAUGAAGAGAGGAGAGAGAAGUCACCCAAUGAAUAAUCAAAGUAGGGCAGGGGUAACUUAUUACCCUAUACGACCAAUUAAUCCCCAUGAACUUUGCUUUGCUCCAGAGGAUGAAUA
Molecule: long non-coding RNA, 938 nt
Organism: Branchiostoma belcheri (Belcher's lancelet)
Lineage: Eukaryota; Metazoa; Chordata; Leptocardii; Amphioxiformes; Branchiostomatidae
Exons: 3
Source: RefSeq, a predicted model, not a curated record